GGGGAAUAUUGGACAAUGGGCGCAAGCCUGAUCCAGCCAUGCCGCGUGAGUGAUGAAGGCCCUAGGGUUGUAAAGCUCUUUCACCGAUGAAGAUAAUGACGGUAGUCGGAGAAGAAGCCCCGGCUAACUUCGUGCCAGCAGCCGCGGUAAUACGAAGGGGGCUAGCGUUGUUCGGAAUUACUGGGCGUAAAGCGCACGUAGGCGGAUUGGUCAGUUAGGGGUGAAAUCCCAGGGCUCAACCCUGGAACUGCCUUUAAUACUGGCAGUCUAGAGUUCGAGAGAGGUGAGUGGAAUUCCGAGUGUAGAGGUGAAAUUCGUAGAUAUUCGGAGGAACACCAGUGGCGAAGGCGGCUCACUGGCUCGAUACUGACGCUGAGGUGCGAAAGCGUGGGGAGCAAAC
RNAcentral lists this ribosomal RNA (400 nucleotides) under uncultured bacterium. RNAcentral's name for it is "bacterial SSU rRNA". It matches the Rfam family "Bacterial small subunit ribosomal RNA", at positions 356 to 773 of the family's 1533-position model. The record is from RNAcentral.